This is an RNA transcript of Cucumis sativus (cucumber), 1790 nucleotides long. It is a transcript of the gene named E3 ubiquitin-protein ligase UPL6-like, with no coding region annotated. The record is from RefSeq and is a predicted model, not a curated record. The transcript has 13 exons. NCBI's taxonomy places the organism in Eukaryota, Viridiplantae, Streptophyta, Magnoliopsida, Cucurbitales, Cucurbitaceae.
UAUUUCAAAUUUCUUUCCCCUUUUUCUUCUCCAUCGGUUUACUCUGCCUCUCAUCUCCCCUUCUCUUCUUCGUCUUCCUCAAACCCUGCGAUUUCCUAUCUCUCAAAUUCCGUUUCGCUCUUCCUAUACCUCCAAAAUUUCGCUCUUCCUCUCUAACGUGAAGCAGCCAAGAAACUCUAUCUUGCGACAUACCCAUCUCGUCGAUCCACCACUUUCUUCUUCUUCUAGCCUUAACGGUGCCGAAAUCAAGGGCCGCAGACCCCCUCGGAAACCCAAGUCUUCCAAAGAAAAUUCUCCACCCUCAGAUCGGUUUUCGAUUCCAAAUCCUGAAGAGCCCGCUUCCACCUAGGCCUCCCUCUUCUAACCCGACCGUUCCUGAGAGUUCGCUAUCACAUACUGCUUUUUUUACCUGUGUUGUUGAAUCCCGAUCCAAGAGACUGGCAGAUGGUUUAAGUAGCUGGUUCCGGAGGCAGAAGCUAACAGGUGCAGCUGGGGAGCGCUUGAAGGAAGCACGCAAUAUCAACCGACCACUCUCACAACUCGGAUCGGAAUGAUGUUGCUCAUCUGAAAGAAGGCAACAUCAUGUGCUUGAAGACUUGUAGAGUAUGGAGAGUGAAUGGUCAAAUUUGAGGAAUCGUAUCUGCUGGCUUUGUAGUCCAAACAGGAACAAGGAUGAAUAAUCAAUGAAAAAUGAACGAAAAGGUUUAUCCAUGCAAGCUUCAAACCAAAGUCAAGGAUGUCGAUCCUUCCAGGGGAGUCCAAAGUUCCAAGAUUGUUUAUCCAUGCAUCAUUUUGUCGAUCUACUAAGAUUAAAUUGUCUCGUUGUAGUUGCAAGACUGGAACAAUAGACGGCAGUUUACACCACCCAGUGACUUCCAUGCUGACGUGAUGAAUGAUUAUUUCAUUUCUCAGGCAGUGAUAGAAAAUACCAGAGCAAAUGAUAUACACAAGCGAGUUCCCUUUUUAGUACCGUUUACUAGCAGGGUUAAGAUUUUCACUACACAACUAGCAGCAGCUAGGCAAAGGAAUGGAUCUCUUGCUGUUUUUGCCAGAAACCGGUUUAGAAUUCGACGAAAUCAUAUAUUGGAAGAUGCUUUCAGUCAGAUGAGUGCAUUGUCUGAAGGUGAUCUUCGAGGAUCGAUACGUGUGUCUUUUGUUAAUGAAUUUGGAGUUGAGGAGGCAGGAAUUGAUGGUGGUGGUAUUUUUAAAGAUGUCAUGGAGAACAUUACACGGGCAGCCUUUGACGUGCAGUAUGGUUUAUUUAAGCAAAUUGCUGACCAUUUGCUCUACCCCAAUCCUGGUUCGGGAAUGAUACAUGAGCAACAUCUCCAGUUUUUCCAUUUCCUCGAAGUUCUUUUGGCAAAGGUCAUGUUUGAAGGAAUUCUUGUUGAUAUACUUUUUGCAACAUUCUUCUUGAGCAAGUUAAAACAGAACUUUCAAUAUCAGGUUCACUGGACAGCUUGGAUGUUGAUGACCUACGGACACAUACUACUUAUUCAAGUGGUUAUCAUAGGGAGCAUUAUGUCAUUGAGAUGUUUUGGGAAGUUAUCAAAAGUUUCUCAGUGGAAAACCAAAAGAAAUUUCUGAAAGACUGGCAGAUGGUUUAAGUAGCUUUAAAACAAGUAGAAUAAAUCUUAUUGAUUUACCUGGUUCCGGAGGCAGAAGCUAACAGGUGCAGCUGGGGAGCGCUUGAAGGAAGCACGCAAUAUCAACCGAUCACUCUCACAACUCGGAUCGGAAUGAUGUUGCUCAUCUGAAAGAAGGCAGCAUCAUGUGCUUGAAGACUUGUA